AUUGAACGCUGGCGGCGGGCCUAACACAUGCAAGUCGAGCGGAUGAAGGGAGCUUGCUCCUGGAUUCAGCGGCGGACGGGUGAGUAAUGCCUAGGAAUCUGCCUGGUUGUGGGGGAUAACGUCCGGAAACGGGCGCUAAUACCGCAUACGUCCUGAGGGAGAAAGUGGGGGAUCUUCGGACCUCACGCUAUCAGAUGAGCCUAGGUCGGAUUAGCUAGUUGGUGGGGUAAAGGCCUACCAAGGCGACGAUCCGUAACUGGUCUGAGAGGAUGAUCAGUCACACUGGAACUGAGACACGGUCCAGACUCCUACGGGAGGCAGCAGUGGGGAAUAUUGGACAAUGGGCGAAAGCCUGAUCCAGCCAUGCCGCGUGUGUGAAGAAGGUCUUCGGAUUGUAAAGCACUUUAAGUUGGGAGGAAGGGCAGUAAGUUAAUACCUUGCUGUUUUGACGUUACCAACAGAAUAAGCACCGGCUAACUUCGUG
RNAcentral lists this ribosomal RNA (484 nucleotides) under uncultured bacterium. Its description in RNAcentral is "partial 16S ribosomal RNA". It matches the Rfam family "Bacterial small subunit ribosomal RNA", at positions 30 to 507 of the family's 1533-position model. The record is from RNAcentral.